CUGAAUCCAUAGGUUAAUGAGGCGAACCGGGGGAACUGAAACAUCUAAGUACCCCGAGGAAAAGAAAUCAACCGAGAUUCCCCCAGUAGCGGCGAGCGAACGGGGAGGAGCCCAGAGCCUGAAUCAGUGUGUGUGUUAGUGGAAGCGUCUGGAAAGGCGCGCGAUACAGGGUGACAGCCCCGUACACAAAAAUGCACAUACUGUGAGCUCGAUGAGUAGGGCGGGACACGUGGUAUCCUGUCUGAAUAUGGGGGGACCAUCCUCCAAGGCUAAAUACUCCUGACUGACCGAUAGUGAACCAGUACCGUGAGGGAAAGGCGAAAAGAACCCCGGCGAGGGGAGUGAAAAAGAACCUGAAACCGUGUACGUACAAGCAGUGGGAGCACAGAGCAAUCUGUGUGACUGCGUACCUUUUGUAUAAUGGGUCAGCGACUUAUAUUCUGUAGCAAGGUUAACCGAAUAGGGGAGCCGAAGGGAAACCGAGUCUUAACUGGGCGUUAAGUUGCAGGGUAUAGACCCGAAACCCGGUGAUCUAGCCAUGGGCAGGUUGAAGGUUGGGUAACACUAACUGGAGGACCGAACCGACUAAUGUUGAAAAAUUAGCGGAUGACUUGUGGCUGGGGGUGAAAGGCCAAUCAAACCGGGAGAUAGCUGGUUCUCCCCGAAAGCUAUUUAGGUAGCGCCUCGUGAAUUCAUCUCCGGGGGUAGAGCACUGUUUCGGCAAGGGGGUCAUCCCGACUUACCAACCCGAUGCAAACUGCGAAUACCGGAGAAUGUUAUCACGGGAGACACACGGCGGGUGCUAACGUCCGUCGUGAAGAGGGAAACAACCCAGACCGCCAGCUAAGGUCCCAAAGUCAUGGUUAAGUGGGAAACGAUGUGGGAAGGCCCAGACAGCCAGGAUGUUGGCUUAGAAGCAGCCAUCAUUUAAAGAAAGCGUAAUAGCUCACUGGUCGAGUCGGCCUGCGCGGAAGAUGUAACGGGGCUAAACCAUG
This 995-nucleotide ribosomal RNA is filed under the name Escherichia coli. Its description in RNAcentral is "partial 23S ribosomal RNA". It matches the Rfam family "Bacterial large subunit ribosomal RNA", at positions 158 to 1191 of the family's 2925-position model. The record is from RNAcentral. Lineage: Bacteria; Pseudomonadati; Pseudomonadota; Gammaproteobacteria; Enterobacterales; Enterobacteriaceae.